GACGAACGCUGGCGGCGUGCUUAACACAUGCAAGUCGAACGGUGAUGACCAGCUUGCUGGUCGGAUCAGUGGCGAACGGGUGAGUAACACGUGAGUAACCUGCCCCAGACUCUGGGAUAAGCCUUGGAAACGAGGUCUAAUACUGGAUAUGAGAUACCCCUGCAUGGGGAGUGUCUGGAAAGAUUUAUCGGUCUGGGAUGGACUCGCGGCCUAUCAGCUUGUUGGUGGGGUAAUGGCCUACCAAGGCGACGACGGGUAGCCGGCCUGAGAGGCGCGACCGGCCACACUGGGACUGAGACACGGCCCAGACUCCUACGGGAGGCAGCAGUGGGGAAUAUUGCACAAUGGGCGCAAGCCUGAUGCAGCGACGCCGCGUGAGGGAUGAAGGCCUUCGGGUUGUAAACCUCUUUCAGCAGGGAAGAAGCGCAAGUGACGGUACCUGCAGAAGAAGCGCCGGCUAACUACGUGCCAGCAGCCCGCGGUAAUACGUAGGGCGCAAGCGUUGUCCGGAAUUAUUGGGCGUAAAGAGCUCGUAGGCGGUUUGUCGCGUCUGGUGUGAAAACUCAAGGCUCAACCUUGAGCUUGCAUCGGGUACGGGCAGACUAGAGUGCGGUAGGGGUGACUGGAAUUCCUGGUGUAGCGGUGGAAUGCGCAGAUAUCAGGAGGAACACCGAUGGCGAAGGCAGGUCACUGGGCCGCAACUGACGCUGAGGAGCGAAAGCAUGGGG
RNAcentral lists this ribosomal RNA (728 nucleotides) under Oerskovia sp. PG1-2/67. RNAcentral's name for it is "bacterial SSU rRNA". It matches the Rfam family "Bacterial small subunit ribosomal RNA", at positions 28 to 766 of the family's 1533-position model. The record is from RNAcentral. Lineage: Bacteria; Bacillati; Actinomycetota; Actinomycetes; Micrococcales; Cellulomonadaceae.